UACAGAGGUCCCGAGCGUUGUUCGGAUUCACUGGGCGUAAAGGGUGCGUAGGUGGCUGGGUAAGUUUGAUGUGAAAGCUCAGGGCUUAACCCUGAAAUGGCAUUGAAUACUACUUAGCUGGAGGUUUGGAGGGGGGACUGGAAUUCUCGGUGUAGCAGUGAAAUGCGUAGAUAUCUGGAGGAACACCGGUGGCGAAGGCGGCAUCCUGGACCGGCAUUGACACUGAGGCGCGAAAGCCAGGGGAGCAAACGGG
This 253-nucleotide ribosomal RNA is filed under the name uncultured bacterium. RNAcentral's name for it is "partial 16S ribosomal RNA". It matches the Rfam family "Bacterial small subunit ribosomal RNA", at positions 524 to 776 of the family's 1533-position model. The record is from RNAcentral.